Molecule: non-coding RNA, 931 nt
Organism: Musa acuminata subsp. malaccensis (wild Malaysian banana)
Lineage: Eukaryota; Viridiplantae; Streptophyta; Magnoliopsida; Zingiberales; Musaceae
Source: RefSeq, a predicted model, not a curated record
UCGGCACCGUCUCUUCCCUCGCCUCAUCUCCCCCUUUCUUCUCUCAAAUCCUGCUCAAAGCCCAAACCCUCGCCGUCUCUUCCUUCGUCCGCCACCGACUCAUCUCCCCGUUUCAGUAAAGAAUGGCUCGAUUCAAAGUGAGCUUUUGAAUGCUUGUGUCUCUCGUGGCGCUACCUCUUCCGUACUACUUCACUUCCCCUGUUUGGUUUGAUUUUGGUUGCAGAGGAAGAAGGCGCUCCCAAAGCCGUCUACGGUGAAGAAUACACCCUGCGUGGAUCGGAUCACUGGGCAGACGAUCCCGAAAGGUUUUGUCUUCUCCAGGGGGAAGCUAGGCCUUCCCAGAGAUCUCGAAUUGGAUCUCCGGAAGCUUAUGCUCCCCCAUACCACCUUAAAAUUAAAGUGACAGGAGAAGAAACAGAAUAAACUCGAAGACUUGUGAAUGUUGCAGGGCCUAUGGGUGUGACCCAUUUUCUUAUACCAUCAAACUCAAAAGAGCAUGCCCCAUUUGCGUGUUGCAAGGACACCGCAAGGUCCAACAUUAACUUGUAAGAUACAUGAAUAUGCGUUGGCUGCUGAUAUUAUUCGAUCUCAGUCUCAUCCCAGUUGUCCUAAAGAGCUGUUCAGUAACUCGCCCCUAGGCUGGCUAUGGUUCAGAAAGUGAAGCUGAUGAAGAAUCGGCAACUCAGUUUGGCAAGUGAGCUUGACAGAGUAAACCGGGCAUCUACCCAAAGUGCUGUUAGACUUCAGGAAAUUGGACCUAGGAUGACACUUCAUUUGGUUAAAGUCUAGGAAGGGUUAUGCUCUGGAGCUGUUAUAUACAAUGACUUUGGUAAAGGAGAUUGACUCAUUUGGUCUCUCUGAUGGGUGACAAACCAUGUAGUGUUUUCUACGUUGCAUCCUAAUAUGUAGCUGUUAUUUUUUUCAUCAGUGA